Molecule: microRNA, 23 nt
Filed under: Scyliorhinus torazame (cloudy catshark)
Lineage: Eukaryota; Metazoa; Chordata; Chondrichthyes; Carcharhiniformes; Scyliorhinidae
Description: Sto-Mir-194-P2_5p (mature (guide))
Source: RNAcentral
UGUAACAGCAACUCCAUUUGGAU